UAGGGAAUCUUCCGCAAUGGACGCAAGUCUGACGGAGCAACGCCGCGUGAGUGAAGAAGGAUUUCGGUUCGUAAAACUCUGUUGUUAGAGAAGAACAGCGCAUAGAGUAACUGUUAUGCGUGUGACGGUAUCUAACCAGAAAGCCACGGCUAACUACGUGCCAGCAGCCGCGGUAAUACGUAGGUGGCAAGCGUUGUCCGGAUUUAUUGGGCGUAAAGCGAGCGCAGGCGGUCAAUUAAGUCUGAUGUGAAAGCCCCCGGCUCAACCGGGGAGGGUCAUUGGAAACUGGUUGACUUGAGUGCAGAAGAGGAGAGUGGAAUUCCAUGUGUAGCGGUGAAAGGCGUAGAUAUAUGGAGGAACACCAGUGGCGAAGGCGACUCUCUGGUCUGUAACUGACGCGGAGGCUCGAAAGCGUGGGUAGCAAACAGG
Molecule: ribosomal RNA, 429 nt
Filed under: Bacteroidota bacterium
Lineage: Bacteria; Pseudomonadati; Bacteroidota
Description: Bacteroidetes bacterium partial 16S ribosomal RNA
Rfam family: Bacterial small subunit ribosomal RNA
Source: RNAcentral